ACAUGCUAAGUUUUUGAUGAAUGUUGUAGAAGAAGCUGAUAAGCUGAGGAUGGAGACUUUGAAGGAGCUGGUGAUCAACAUACUGAGUCCACUUCAAGCUGUGGAUUUUCUCAUAGCUAGCAAGAAGCUCCAUCUUUGUGUCAAUGCUUGGGGUAAAACAAGAGAUCAUCAACAUGGGAGGAACAGAGAAACAACACAAGAGAGGAACACAUGUCCAACUUUAUCUUGUCUUGAAAAUUAAAACAAGGGAGUUAAACCGCUUAUGUACAUAUAUGGAAUAAAUGUUUAGUUGUUACUAAUUAAGUCGGCAUUAUUUUUACUAACUUCUUUCAAUCUUUGUGUGACUACCGAUCAAGCUUAAAAAGACCAAUAAUAGCUUUCUUAACAUGCGAAUAUUAAAAUUGAGAGGAAAGUAGUUUCUUUGAAGGGGGAAAUAACAAUAAUCAACUAACCUUAACCUUCAAUUGAUCAAAUUCGAUGAUUUUGACCCAAUCACUAACAGAAGUCCAAAACAGUAACAAACAUUUUAAUCCUAUGAAGGGCAAAACGCCUAGAAGAAAACAUUUUUGAAAUUUUACACCGCAUCCCCCAAUGUGGGCACAUUUUCUCAAAUUGUCGAGAAUAAUAUGACAAGACAAGGAGUAGCAGAAACAAAAUUGUUCAUCUUUCCAUUCAUGUAUACAGAAUUCAAGUUAUAUCUACUGAAACUACAAAAAUACAUUCUUUUACACCAUUAGUGCACUCUUACUGAUCCAAACUGUUGUCCACUAUCUUUUGUAAGUUACAAACUCAUACACACUAUUUUAUACUCUUUCGGAGAUCGAUCGUAGUAACAAUUUCUUUUACAUAAAUCAAAAUAAAGUAAACAAUAUCGAAUUAGUUUAGGGAUUAAUUUGCAAGAAACAUACCUGUUGUGGAUGAGCGGAGAGAAAGAGUUGUAACAAUGACAGUCCGCAGCAGCAUUGGGAAAAAGCUCUACCAAUUGUGAGAAAGCCCUCAGAUUCCAAGAAGGGAUUUGAGGAAGAACAGGUUAGGGAUUUUGGGUUGGGCUUCCGGGUCGGUCCUUCUUUCUAUUUUCAUUUUCUUUUCGUUUUUUCUCCCCGCCU
RNAcentral lists this long non-coding RNA (1106 nucleotides) under Solanum tuberosum (potato). Its description in RNAcentral is "long non-coding RNA (STUB_LNC002991)". The record is from RNAcentral. Lineage: Eukaryota; Viridiplantae; Streptophyta; Magnoliopsida; Solanales; Solanaceae.